GUUUGGAUUAGGAUUUGAUUAGGGUUUAGGAUUAGGAUUUGGUUAGGAUUUGGUUUAGGAUUUAGGAUUUUUUAGGGUUAGGAUAUGGUUUAGGAUUUGGUUUAGGAUUUGAUUUAGGGUUUAGGAUUUGGAUUAAGGUUUGGAUUAGGAUUUAGGAUUUGGUUUAGGAUUUGGUUAGGGAUUGAUUUAAAGUUUAAGAUUUGAUUAAGGUUUGAUUAGGGUUUGAUUUAGUAUUUAGGAUUUAUCUAGGAUUUGAGUAGGAUUAGGAAUUAAUUACAAUUUAAGGUUUUAUUAGAUUUUUGUUAGGGUUUGAUUAAGUUUUCUUUAAUAUUCUUUUAUAUUUCUUUAGAAUUUUCUUGUAUUUCUUUUAUAACUUCAAUAAAAUUUAAUUGAGCUUACUUAAUGUUUGAUUAUGAUUGUUAACAUUUAAUUGUAAAUUUUCUAUAAUCCUAUUGGAUUGUUAGGACCUUUUGUUGCAAUUUUCUUUUAUCUUCCAUAGCUAGGUGCUCGGUGCAUUCUCAAGCAAGACUUCACGUAAUACGACAAUGGAUCUUUCAAUCUCAGGUUUUUAUGACUCUAUAUUCAUGAUAGUAGAUCAUUUUACUAA
RNAcentral lists this long non-coding RNA (607 nucleotides) under Physcomitrium patens. RNAcentral's name for it is "long non-coding RNA (PPAT_LNC003413)". The record is from RNAcentral. Lineage: Eukaryota; Viridiplantae; Streptophyta; Bryopsida; Funariales; Funariaceae.